AGAUAUUACAUAGCUCAUAGAAUCUACCUAGGAGAAGGCCGGACAGCCCAAUGCUGAAGCUACAGAGACAGCACAGCCUCAGCUACAGAAUGGGGCGAGCCUUGGUACCUGAGCCCUUUCAGCCACUUUCUCUGAUUCUCAGGACAGAGCCUGCAGGAGAUGGAUGGCCUGGCCCGUGGCCACAGGGCCAUGCUGUUUCCUCUGAGGCUGCUGCAAGGCAAACCAGAUCUCAUGGCGGUAUCCUAGUUGUAGGUGAUCCAGAGAGUGCAAAAUGUUUGGCAUUUACCUUGAGGAAGUGGGAACUUACAAAAUAGGGGAAGUUAACAAAACACAAGGAGGCGGGGGUGUCACAAGAUUUGAGUGGGUGGAUACAGGUUAUAGCCGCUCAAGUUUUCCUCUUGGCUUCCUUCUUCUAUAAACUUUCAACCAAUAACGACAAGCUUUUUGCCUGACAACACAGAUUCUUUCCCCCCCACCCCCCCGGCUACAGAGGAAAUGUCCCAGCAUCUCCGCUAAGAACCCAAAGUCCAAACCCAAGGUUUCUGAGUAAUGUUUAUUCCUCCCUUUAGUUCAUUUGCAGCCAAUGUUGGUUAACUUAUUGAUUCAUUGAUGAAGCUAGCUAUUGCCAACAUACCUUGAAUAAAAAGCCAAAAAACUUAAUUAAUGUAAAACCACUGAUGCAGGUUACUGGGCAAGGCCAAUGGGAGAAAACCACAUCUUUCUGGACCCCACAUUGGUAAGCCCCAUCUUUAAGGGAUAAAAACCCCUAUAAGACAAUAGAGGGGGGGGACUCUUCUUCCCCCUCCCAGCUGUCCUGGGAGCUGUUUGCCCAGACUUUGCUUACUUGCAAAAAAAUAAUAAUAAUAAUGUAUAACCAUAUAUGUGAUGCAGCAAGGAAGACAGUUUAGGAAGAUGCUGCCAUUCUAACUUCUGUAGUUAGUUACUUCAAAGAAAUGGUUGGUAUUAAAUCUCAUCUCCUCUUAUAUUUAUUUCAUAUUCCCUUUUUCUUUUUUGGAAUUAUCAGACUAGGACUUUAUUUAUAAUUUUUUUUGUCUUUUUAGGGCUAUACCCACAGCAUAUGGAGGUUCCCAGGCUCGGGGUCCAAUCAGAGCCACAGCUGUGGGCCUAUACCACAGCCACAGCAACGCUGGAUCUGAGCUGCAUCUGCGACCUCCACCACAACUCAUGGCAACGCAGGAUCCUUAACCCACUGAGCAAGGCCAGGGAUCAAACCCACAUCCUCAUGGAUACUAGUUGGGUUCAUUAAACACUGAGCCACAAUGGGAACUCCUCAUAUUCUCUUUGUCUUUAGCCAGUAACUCAACUGAUCAGUAUUUUUCACCUGGCAGGGUGUCCCAAACCUUCCUUCCUAAGGGAUUGGAGCCAUCAGUGGCCCUGCGUUUCUGAGGUUGCCAUGGUUUUUAUUAACUUUUACCACUGGAUAUUCUCUGCUAGGUAGAACCCAUUAUUGCUGGUAUGUUACCAUGUAGCUUGUUGCUCCUUUUGUGCCAUCGUGAGCCAGUAUUUCAUCACCCCCUCUUGGUCUGUUUGUCUAAUAGCAUUAAAGAGUCUGAAAUAGUUAUGUGACACUUUGAACUUUCAGCCUGAUUCAUGCUGUCCUCUUGUUCUUUUUUUGAGUCCUAAAGAAGCAGAGUCAGAGGGUGGAAAGCAAGCUUUUUGCUGAGGUGGUCGCUUCCCACUUCCCCUCCCUGGUUCCAGGAACCAUGUAUCCUGGCCAAAGGAAGGCCACCUGUCAGAGCACGUAACACAUCUUUUCAGAUGUUACCCCAGUUCCACAAGCUCUCCUGCCUUGCAGUUUGUAUCCUAACUGAAUUUUCAGUUGACCUUCCCACUGUUGUAUAAGGCUUGCUGCAUUUGAGCCUUGCUUGAUUGCUUGGUAGGACCAUCACAUUUUUUGAACCCACAGCCUUGUUUUGCAAGACGUGUUUCGGGCUCAGAAGCCCUGUGGUGAUGAUGGCAAAUGCGGUCUUCAGUAAGGCCGUGAGUGGUGUGACUGGCAGAAAGAUGGCAGACAUAGAAGAUACAUACAAAUCUGGAGUAAAAGUCCACUCCAAUGAAGAUAAGUUAUCCCCUCCUCUGUGAUGAAAGAGGCCUAAUGUAAUCUACCCAUCAUUGCUGGCCCAUCUCCCUGUGAUGUGAGAGUUCUUGGGGAGGUUCAGAGUCAUUGAGCAUUUGGCAGGGGUUCAGCCUUGGUGCAGUUAAGUCCCUGUUGUUGGGCCCAGGCAUAAUAUUCAUCCUUGCUACCCUGGCCACCUGCUCAUGAGCCCUUUGAGCAGGUUCUCUGGCUGCCAGGGAAAGAGACUGGUCAGUAUAGAAGGGGUAGGUCAUCUUGCCCCACGUAUUAUAAGCACUUCUUAAUAAGGCCUUUCCAAGAACAUUCACACCAAAUACAAAUAUUGUCACACUCUGUGUAACUUUUCCCCAAGUGUCUUUGUCACCAGUUCUUUUGAGUUUCCACCAGUGAAUGAAUAUUCAGCUCUCAGUCUCUCUCUCUCCUUAAAGGGCAGUAGACCCAAAAUAUACUAGUCAGCAUUCUGCCCCCUGAACAGAAUUGACUGCUUGACCCUCAGGUUGUCUCAUUUCAUUCAUUUACAUCUAGCCCAUACCUUCCUAUUGGGCAGAGCCAUUGAUUAAUCAGGCACACAGUUUCAUCUGCUAGUAAACUGGUCACUCAAGUUGUCACCCUUUCAGGUCGUUUGUAUAAGUCAGAGAAACACACCCAUAUACCCACUCGUGUUUGUGCUAAUUUCUUAGUGGUAAGGGAUACAGGAUACAGAAACUUGACUUUCCUUUUAGAUGAGCUCUUUCAAGUGCCCCGGAUUGCUGGAUGUUCAGAAACUAUUUUCAUAGGAUUCAUCUGUCACUAUCUGGCACGGCUGUGUCUUAGAAUGACAUCUAGAAUACAUGCCACCUUCUGCUCUAUAAGCCCUACCAUUAUGUGGUCACUGUUGUAGACCAGAAUAAUAUCCUGAGAUAGUGAGAUAAUGAAGGUCUUUGUGGCCUGAUAGUGCCACUGAAGCAGAAUGUUUAGAGAACAUGAGGCAAAAAGUUGUGUGGCUGUCCUGCUGUAGAUGGACACCUCUGCUCUCUGCUCACUGCGAUGGAAACACUGGAUUUUUCCAGCUCUGUAUCGCGGAUGCCGCAAUAGAGAGACCAUCUCCAGAAGAACUAAACGUACAUUAUUCCAGUGUCAUUUGCCAAGACAUACUUGGCUUCUGCUUAGGCCAGAGCGGUGAGUUAAAUAAGGAAGAUUCUGGGAGUUCUCAUCGUGGCUCAGCAGUAACAAACUGGACUUCUAUCUAUGAGGACGUGGGUUUGAUCUCUGGCCCCAAUCAUUGGGCUACGGAUCCAGUGUUGCCAUGAGCUGUGGUGUAGGUCGCAGACACAUCUUGGAUCCUGCGUUGCUGUGGCUGUUGCAUAGACCUGCACCUGCAGCUCCAAUUGGACCCCUAGCCUGGGAACUUCCAUAUGCUACAAGUUUGGCCCUAAAAAGACAAAAAAAAAAAAAAAAAAAAAA
Molecule: long non-coding RNA, 3538 nt
Filed under: Sus scrofa (pig)
Lineage: Eukaryota; Metazoa; Chordata; Mammalia; Artiodactyla; Suidae
Description: lncRNA (ENSSSCG00035036255.1)
Source: RNAcentral